GUUUCUCUUGAUCUAUAUGAGUGUCCGGUUACGAGGGUUAAGGAUUAUCGAUCUAGGGUUUUUGGUUUGAUUAGGUCGUUGAAGUAUUUGGAUAAGAUGGAUGCUGAGGGUAAUGAGAGGCCGGAAUCGGAUGACGAGGAGGAUGAUGAAGAGGAGGAUGAUGAGGAUGAUCCAGGGAGUGGGGAAGUUGACGGUGAGGAUAGGCCGAUUAGGAGGGAGAAUGGACAUAGGGUUGAGAGUGAAGGAGUUGUUGAUGUGGAUGAGGAUGAGAGUGAUGCUGAUGAGGAGGAGACGGAGAUAACUAGAGGGAGUAAUGGGUCGAAAGGGGAGGGUUCGAGUCAUUCAAAUGGUUUUCGAGUAGGAGAGGCAGGUUCUGAUGGAGAGGAUGAUGAUGACGAGGAUGAGGAUGAGGAUGAUGAAGAUGAGGAUUUUGUGGAGGAGAUAGAUGAAGAGGGAGAUGAAGAUGAUGUUGUGGAGGUUCAUGAGAUAGAAGACAGUGAUGAGGACGAGGAAGAGGAUGGUGUGGAAGAUGAUGAGGAUGACGACGACGAAGAGGAUGAAGAGGAAGUUGAUAAUGAUGAUGGGGAUACGGCAGAGCCAGAAAGUACGGGGAGGUUGAAUAGCACAGAAGGUGAGAUUGAUGGACAUGAACAUGGGGAAGAUGAUUCUGAUGAGGAUGAUGAUGGGGAGACUGGAGAGGAGGAGCAAGGUGUCGAGGAGGAUGGCAAUUUCGAUGAUGAUGAGGAUGCUGAAGAUGAGGUGAAAAUCUCUCCUUUUUUAGUUGGUUAUUUGUUUUUUCGUUUUUAUGUUUGAUAUGUCAUAAUUUGUUUGGUUUGUUUUUACUCUAAUGUUUCUUAUUAUUAGUUUUAUGAAAUAUGUAUAUAUAGUGUGUGUUUCUGCAAUUUGCAUGGUCAAUUUGCUUAUUGAUGCUAGAGUGUUGUUAGAAUUCUUAUAUUGUUGGAGCUUUGUAGCCAUUAAUUGAUUUGAUCUUUAAAUUGAUUGUUUUUGGAAAUACCUGUAAUGUUGGAAAUAUUGUUGUUGGAAGUCUUUGUAAUAGUAUCAGAUUUGCCCCAGGUAGUAACUUCAGGCUACUCCAAACAUGGAAGUUCGGUGCACAGAUUGAUUCUGUUGCCUUAGAAACCAAGCUGAUUUAUUAGAUCAAGUUGGUGUGUAAUAUAUAUUCUGCUUGAAGCUGUAUUAUGUGAUCUGCUUGAAGCGGUGUUGUGGAUGUAAUAUAUAUUCUGCUUGAAGCUGUGUAUUGUACAAAAUAUCUGAUGCAGGUACCUAACCGAGUUUUAUGUAAAACUGUGGAGAAACAUUUAACAGAUAAAGCAAAGCUCGUAAGAAGUUUGUCGAAUGAUGGUGGUUUGAUAAUCUAUAUGAUACUUGCAGCUUUAUCUACCUGCUCUUCCUCUAUUCAUAUGAUAAUAUUCUGCGCAGCCUGUCUAAUAUCUGUGGUAACUCUGAUUUUGCCUGAGAUUGAACCAUAUUUAGUUUUUCUGACCCAAAUAUUAUGCAUCAGUAUCUCGAAGAACGUUGCAGUGGAUUGUUUUCUGUUGGGUGAGAGUUCUGAGGAUCUAUUUUUUUUUUUUGGUUUUUUUGCUUGCAAUUAUAGUAGAGGAGCAUAUACUAGCUCUCAAAGAGGAAAAAAUUUGGAUGAUUUUCUGUAUCUUCCUGAAUGACUUGCUAUUUUAUGCAUGGUCUCUUGAUUUCCACAUUUUGGAAUAUAAUGUUGUUUUCUGUGAUCUGUGGUGGUUCCUCUUGAGCUUCUCCUGAAAGAACUUCCUUGAACCUCUUUUUUUACCUCCCUUUUUUGUUUUUUCUCUUGGCUCAAGGUAGUAUAGUAUCUGUUACUUAUAGAAAAGUGGUUAGGGUUCAUGGUGUUUUUAUCAGGCCUUUCAUCUUUUUGUUGGUUUUAAAGUUGAUGUUCUCUUUAAUGACAGCUCUGACACUGUAUUUCUUUUGAUUUUCUGCUUUCCUGCCAUCAUAACCUUUUCUUUAUUUUUUUCCCGAAGAUGACUGUCAAUUGCAAAAGUAUGGGGAAUCUUUACCUUGUUGAAUCUGCUGCUUUUUGCUUCUGAGUUCUUGGUUUUUAAAGAUAGUUAACUGGUGUCGAUUUGCGACCUUUUUUAAUCAAAUAAUUAUUCCAAGUUAAAAUUCACUUUCUUGUUCUCCACUUCCAUGCCCUAUUAUAUGUUGUGUUCCUUUUCUGGCGGGGGACUGUCAAAUUUCAUUGCUGAAGUAUAUGGGUAAUUUUACCCUGUUGAAUCCACUGCUUGUGUUCCUUUCUGCUUUUGUGCUAUAUUGGUUCUUUUUGUUUUUUGCUUGCUGCUGUAAGAUCUUUUAUCUGUGAUUCCGUGGCUCAAUUUUCGUUGGCAUGUAUGAAUGGAUAUUCUACUUUUCCUAGGUGUUUCUGUAAUCCUGUAGCUUUCUUUGUCUCUUGGAAAAUUGCUUUGUGGUUUAGUUGGGAUUAUCAUCAUCUUUUUCUGUCAAAAAUUGUCUUGCGGAUUUUGCAGUGGUAGAUAGAGAGCUUACUGAUUUUCUUAUAAAUGACAGGAAGAAGAUAAUGGCAAUGGCUACCUUGUUCAACCAGUUGGUCAUGUUGAAGUAGAUGAUGCUGAUGGCAGUGAUGUGGAGCCUGUAAAUGGGGAUGAAGAUCCGGAUUUGGAGGAAGAUCUUGAAGAUGAAGAGGAUGAUUAUAGUGAAGUUCAGGAGCUGCUUCCAUCCUCCUCUCAGAAGAGGAAGCGAGAUGAUGAGGAUGAUGAUGGUGGUGAGGAUGAUGAUGAAGAG
RNAcentral lists this long non-coding RNA (2790 nucleotides) under Capsicum annuum. RNAcentral describes it as "long non-coding RNA (CANN_LNC007196)". The record is from RNAcentral. Lineage: Eukaryota; Viridiplantae; Streptophyta; Magnoliopsida; Solanales; Solanaceae.